This 467-nucleotide ribosomal RNA is filed under the name uncultured bacterium. RNAcentral describes it as "partial 16S ribosomal RNA". It matches the Rfam family "Bacterial small subunit ribosomal RNA", at positions 28 to 507 of the family's 1533-position model. The record is from RNAcentral.
GAUGAACGCUGGCGGCGUGCUUAACACAUGCAAGUCGAACGGAAAGGCCCAAGCUUGCUUGGGUACUCGAGUGGCGAACGGGUGAGUAACACGUGGGUGAUCUGCCCUGCACUUCGGGAUAAGCCUGGGAAACUGGGUCUAAUACCGGAUAGGACCACAUUUUGGAUGGUGUGGUGGAAAGUUUUUCGGUGUGGGAUGAGCUCGCGGCCUAUCAGCUUGUUGGUGGGGUAAUGGCCUACCAAGGCGUCGACGGGUAGCCGGCCUGAGAGGGUGUACGGCCACAUUGGGACUGAGAUACGGCCCAGACUCCUACGGGAGGCAGCAGUGGGGAAUAUUGCACAAUGGGCGCAAGCCUGAUGCAGCGACGCCGCGUGGGGGAUGACGGCCUUCGGGUUGUAAACUCCUUUCGCUAGGGACGAAGCGUUGUUGUGACGGUACCUGGAGAAGAAGCACCGGCUAACUACGUG